AAGUCGUAACAAGGUUUCCGUAGGUGAACCUGCGGAAGGAUCAUUAUUGAAUAUUCUUGAUGGGUUGUAGCUGGCUCUUUGGAGCAUGUGCACGCCUGUCUUGACUUUAUUCAUCCACCUGUGCACCUUUUGUAGUCUUGGGGGUCAGAGCAGUCGACUUGUCGGAUCCGAUCCGGAUGUGAGGAUUGCUGAGUGCGGAAGCAUGCGGCUCUCUUCAAAAACGACUUGCAAAAGCCCUUGAGUACUAUGUUCUUCAUACACCACGUAGUAUGUUGUAGAAUGUGAUCAAUGGGCCUAUGUGCCUAUAAUAAUCAUAUACAACUUUCAGCAACGGAUCUCUUGGCUCUC
This 348-nucleotide unclassified non-coding RNA is filed under the name fungal sp. RNAcentral describes it as "partial internal transcribed spacer region". The stretch from base 1 to 46 matches the Rfam family "Eukaryotic small subunit ribosomal RNA", at positions 1786 to 1831 of the family's 1831-position model. Lineage: Eukaryota; Fungi. The record is from RNAcentral.